This 606-nucleotide ribosomal RNA is filed under the name Rhynchogastrema glucofermentans. RNAcentral's name for it is "eukaryotic LSU rRNA". It matches the Rfam family "Eukaryotic large subunit ribosomal RNA", at positions 40 to 635 of the family's 3401-position model. The record is from RNAcentral. Lineage: Eukaryota; Fungi; Basidiomycota; Tremellomycetes; Tremellales; Rhynchogastremaceae.
AUAUCAAUAAGCGGAGGAAAAGAAACUAACAAGGAUUCCCCUAGUAACGGCGAGUGAACCGGGAUGAGCUCAAAUUUGAAAUCUGGCGUCCUCAGGGCGUCCGAGUUGUAAUCUAUAGAGGCGUUUUCCGUGCCGGACCGUGUCCAAGUCCCUUGGAACAGGGUAUCAAAGAGGGUGACAAUCCCGUACUUGACACGACGACCGGUGCUCUGUGAUACGUCUUCUACGAGUCGAGUUGUUUGGGAAUGCAGCUCAAAAUGGGUGGUGAGUUCCAUCUAAAGCUAAAUAUUGGCGAGAGACCGAUAGCGAACAAGUACCGUGAGGGAAAGAUGAAAAGCACUUUGGAAAGAGAGUUAAACAGUACGUGAAAUUGUUGAAAGGGAAACGAUUGAAGUCAGUCGUGACUGUUGGGCUCAGCAGGUUCUGCCUGUGUAUUCCCCUCAGUCGGGUCAACAUCAGUUUUGACCGGUGGAUAAGGGCAGCGGGAAUGUGGCACCCUCGGGUGUGUUAUAGCCUGUCGUCGCAUACAUCGGUUGAGACUGAGGAACGCAGCUCGCCCUUGAGGCCGGGGUUCGCCCACGUCCGAGCUUAGGAUGUUGACAUAAU